Molecule: ribosomal RNA, 200 nt
Filed under: uncultured prokaryote
Description: partial 16S ribosomal RNA
Rfam family: Bacterial small subunit ribosomal RNA
Source: RNAcentral
CGUCAAAUCAUCAUGCCUCUUACGCCUUGGGCAACAAACGUGCUACAAUGGCGACUACAAAGCGCUGCCAACCCGUAAGGGGGAGCCAAUCGCAAAAAAGUCGUCCCAGUUCGGAUUGUGGGCUGAAACCCGCCCACAUGAAGUUGGAUUUGCUAGUAAUCCCGAAUCAGCAUGUCGGGGUGAAUGCGUUCCCGGGUCUU